AUGCAGAAAAAUGAUCUUUGGACUGAGCUGAAGUCAAAUUUCACCCUACCGCCAGAGGAUGAUCCAGAGAAGCCAGUUAAAGAGCAAUUAAUCAUGUCUUUUGCUCUUAAGAGGAUGGCAGAACUAUUCAGGAGGUGGAAGAAAGAGCUGAAUAAGUUUGUCGAAAAUAAUGAGACACCAGAAUUCAAGGGCAGAUAUGAGAAGAUCAGAGAUCACUGGCCCGCAUUUGUGGCCCACAAGACAUCGGAAAAGAGUAAGAAGAUGUCGGCGACAAACAAGCAAAAUGCUACGAAGAAGAAGCAUCACCAUCGCACGGGGUCAGGUGGCUACCUUGUAGCCCGGCCUAAGUGGGCCAACAUUGAGAAUGAUCUGGUUGAUAAAGGGAUCGAACCGGAGACAAUUAACUGGCCAGACCGUUGCCGGACUUGGUUCUUUGGGGCUGGCGGAACCUUGGACCCUGUAACAGGGAAGUGCAUUUGGACGAACGAUCAAAUGGACAUACCAGUCAGGAAGCUUCAGCAGUAUAUCGAAGCAGCGCAGCAAGGGACGUUCUUUCCAGACAGAGAGAACGACGAGUUCACAAUGACCCUCGGGAAUCCUGAGCACCCUGGACGGACACGAGGCAUGCCAGGCUCCAUUCCGUGGAAGGUUGGGUUUCCAGACGCAGGCGGUUACAAAUCCCAGGAGAGGAGGAAAAAAGUGCAGCAGACCCAAAUGCAGGCGCUGCAAGCAAGGAUACAAGCGAUAGAGGAACGAGAAGCAAAUCGCAGCAAACGAACUGCCGAAGCUUCCCCCGAAGCUACCCCUCCAUCUCAGCGGAGAAGCAGCGUGGCUUCCACCGAGCUGCUUCAGCCGGAGCAUGCCUUGACGGCUCCUGCCAGCUAUCCCGUGGAUGCUAUCACGGAGUCUCAAAAUUGCCACCUUAUGAUGCAAUGGAUGAAUUUGAAGGUCAAGGCGGCUGUUGGCUCUGUUUAUCCUACUGAACCCGGCGCAACUUUUCACUAUCGGUCGAUUCCAGAAGGAUAUGCUAGGGUGAUGGUGGAUGAAAUAAUGGAGGGAUUUGAGGACCUCCAGCUUGACCACCCUACCGGUGAAGGGGAGACUAGGCUGGGGUCUGCUCUGAACACUCCAUGCCUAUGGCGAAAGGAGCUCAUUAACCUUCCGAACUAG
This 1170-nucleotide ribosomal RNA is filed under the name Triticum aestivum (bread wheat). RNAcentral's name for it is "partial small subunit ribosomal RNA". Lineage: Eukaryota; Viridiplantae; Streptophyta; Magnoliopsida; Poales; Poaceae. The record is from RNAcentral.